UACGAAGGGGGCGAGCGUUGUUCGGAAUCAUUGGGCGUAAAGGGCGCGUAGGCGGGUUUGUAAGUCGAUUGUGAAAUCCCUGGGCUUAACCCGGGAAUUGCAGUCGAAACUGCAAGUCUUGAGUUCUCGAGAGGAUGGUGGAAUUCCUGGAGUAGUAGUGAAAUACGUAGAUAUCAGGAGGAACACCGGAGGCGAAGGCGGCCAUCUGGCGAGACACUGACGCUAAGGCGCGAAAGCGUGGGUAGCAAACAGG
This 253-nucleotide ribosomal RNA is filed under the name uncultured bacterium. RNAcentral's name for it is "partial 16S ribosomal RNA". It matches the Rfam family "Bacterial small subunit ribosomal RNA", at positions 524 to 776 of the family's 1533-position model. The record is from RNAcentral.